CUGCAAACACCCGCUCUCCAAGCACCUGCUAAGAACCAGGGGUCCUUGGCAGAGGACUCCCCUCGCAGUGGGUGCUCAGAGCCCACUGAUCUUGCCCCUCCGCUGGCCCGGCUAUGGGAACUGGCAGGUGGCAGCGGAGCUGGAACUUAGGAAGGGCAGGAUGUCAGCUUGGAGCCAUGCCGGCUGUCACCAGAGGCCGCCCCUCCCACAGCUAAGCCUUCCCGGGUGUUGUGUCAUGAGCACACACAGUCCGGAGUCUCCGACACCACUUUGUUUCCCCUGCUCUAUCCAUGGGGCCACCUCUCACUUUCCCAAAAGAGAGGGCAGGGUGUCAAGCCGUCUCACAGAUGGCAGAGCAGAUGCCUGACCAUACUCUCGAGCAGCUUCAGAGAAGUAUUUAUGCCCUGAAGUGGUUUCUUCAGGUGACCAGAUGAAGAACACCCAUCUCAGGCAGAGAAUCUCACCGAAAUAGAGAAGAAGCUCAUGCUCCUGGAAGAAACAGCCUGAGGAGAGCCGCUGGGCCACAUCUGGCCACUGUCCACAGCGCUGUCAGAUCCAACGAGAGCCGCUGAGUCACAUCUGGCCACCGUCCGCAGCACUCACAUCUGGCCACCGUCCGCUGCGCUCACAUCUGGCCACCGUCCGCAGCGCUCACAUCUGGCCACCGUCCGCAGCGCUCACAUCUGGUCACCAUCCACAGAGCUCACAUCUGGCCACCGUCCGCUGCGCUCACAUCUGGUCACCAUCCACAGCGCUCACAUCUGGCCACCGUCCGCUGCGCUCACAUCUGGCCACCGUCCGCAGAGCUCACAUCUGGCCACCAUCCGCAGAGCUCACAUCUGGCCACCGUCCGCAGCGCUCACAUCUGGCCACCGUCCACUGCGCUCACAUCUGGCCACCGUCCGCAGCGCUCACAUCUGGCCACCGUCCGCUGCGCUCACAUCUGGCCACCGUCCGCAGAGCUCACAUCUGGCCACCGUCCGCAGCGCUCACAUCUGGCCACCGUCCGCUGCGCUCACAUCUGGUCACCGUCCGCAGCGCUCACAUCUGGCCACCGUCCGCAGUGCUCACAUCUGGCCACCGUCCGCUGCGCUCACAUCUGGUCACCGUCCGCAGCGCUCACAUCUGGUCACCGUCCGCUGCGCUCACAUCUGGCCACUGUCCACAGAGCUCACAUCUGGCCACCGUCCCCAGCGCUGUCAGAUGCCGACCAAACCCUGCUUUGGUGUUGAGGUGGUUUGUCUAGUAGCCUCCUUUCUUAAGGGAAUUUAAUCUGCUGCAAAUGGUUCUCAUGUAUGCAAUAGAUGUUACUGUAACUGUUUUAUAAGGUGCAUUGCCUUCACCUUGCCAGGCUCUAUGCCAGUCUGUGUCUAGUCUGAUACCAUUCCUGCACACAUACAUCAAUGCCCCAGCAUUUGGAGGGCUGGAGUUAGGAAUAAUCCUGUUGGUGACUUAUUAUUAACUAUUGUAUGGGACUUAUUAUGUAUCUUCAUGUUCUACUGUUCCCACCUCCCAAACCCCAAAAAAGGAUGAGAUCUGUUUUAUAACAAAAACAUUUACGAUAAGGCCUAUACCAUAAAAUAAGUAAUAAAGUUAAUACCAACAAAAAGAGAAGAAGUAUGAAUUACUGCUGUGGUUAGGGUUGACAUUAUUCCUACGAUUGAGCUUCGAAGACUUUUCUAAGCAGUAAUAAACAUGAACCAAGCGUCACACAGUUCCAUUCAUGGUCCUGACCUGAGAGAGCGCUUUCCUAGAUGGACACCCACUCCCUCUCCCAACUGCCCAACUCAUCAGUAAAUGGAGUUUGAUUUAAGCCAAACCUAAUGCAGUAGUUCCCUGUACUUGAGGUUUUUCCUUCUGGGAUUUCAGUUACCUGUGGUCAACGAGAUCCAAAAAUAUUAAAUAGAAAAUUCUAGAGAUAAACAAUUUACAAGUUCUAAACUGCACGCCUUUCUGGUAGCAUGAUAAAAUCUCAUGCUGUCCUGCUCUGUCCCUCAUGGAAUAUGAAUCAUUCCUUGUCCAGCAUAUCUACUCUUCAUAGCAGCAGUCUAGGUUAUCAGAUUGACAGCUCCAAGAAGAAAAGUGAGUUAAGUACAAUAAUAUAUUUGUGAAGAAAGACCAUAUUUAUAUAAGGUUUGUUACAAAACACUAUCAUAAUUGUUCUAUUUUAUUAUUAGUUGUUAUGGUUAAUCUGUUACUGUACCUAAUUUAUAAAUUAAAAUUUAUCAUAGGUAUGUAUAUAUAAGAAAAAACAAACAAACAAACAAAAAAUAUAUAUAUAGGAUUUGGUACUAUCCACAAUUUCAGCUAUUCACUGGGGUCUAGGAAGAUAUUUUUCAUGGAUAAGAAGGGGGCUGGGGUAUAGCAAAAUAAAAUUAAAUAUGCAAAAAUGUCUAAUCAUAUGACUAAAGAAAAUAUACACGACAUUAGAAAAGAUAAAAGGAUCAGUGGUCAUCAUAGCAGCUUCAAAUUUAGAAUGCAUAUUUACAGUUAGUAAUACAUUUAUAGCAAUCUAUUCAUGAUGGGUGGUAAGAAGAGAGUAAACAAUCUUUCAUUGGUAAAUCUUUUCGAGAUAUCUCAUUGCUGAAUACUUUACAUGCUAUCUCAUUGAAUGUUUAUGAGGAUCUCAAGAAGUAGUCAUAUUCCUAAUAGAGAAAAAAAACUUGAGUUUUUUUUUUCUUGCUAUUUCAGUGUUCCUUUUCCUUUGCCAGUCCUCCAAUAGCUGUUCAAUGAAUCUACAUAUUAAAUUUAAGGCUGACUCCAUCUCCUGAAUCACAGUGGUCAUUCUGCCUCUUGGACUGACUCCAUUCUUCAUUUAUUGAGUCCUUGUGGAUAUAGAGCCUCAGCCCUUGUCAUCCCCUAAGGCAAGUGUUGGUCUGAGAAGCGAAACCAAGCUGGCACAGCACUGUAGGCCUGGGAGGGAAAGUGACAUGUGCCUGCAUCCCAAGGAGUGGGGAUGAUGAAAUCAUGAGGGACUCAAUGAGGCUAUCAUUUGGGGUGCCACUGGAACAUUGAUUAGUGAUGAAAGAGGAGAGACCUUUGGCCUCCUGAGAGAAUAAAUCUGGUCCUCAUGGUGUCUCCUUUCCAAGAUCACCUCGUUCUUCCUGUCUUACCCACUUCUCAGCUUGGGUAAAUAUUAAACCCUCCAGUGAAUGGGGCCAUGUGAAAUUUUAGUCUAUCUAUCUCUACAUCACUGAACAUGUUGGACUCCACUAAUCUUAAGCACAAACAUCAUUUUUCCUCUUAUCAAUGAUCUUUUAGCAUUUUAAGCAACUUUUAUAUAACAAUACUUUUAAUAUUUUUUCUGGUAUCUUGUCUCAGUAUCUUCCCAUGUAGAACAACUCUAUGUAUCACAGAACUACUAAAAGCAAUUAAA
This 3376-nucleotide long non-coding RNA is filed under the name Homo sapiens (human). RNAcentral's name for it is "HSALNT0183921". The record is from RNAcentral. Lineage: Eukaryota; Metazoa; Chordata; Mammalia; Primates; Hominidae.